RNAcentral lists this long non-coding RNA (1907 nucleotides) under Sus scrofa (pig). RNAcentral's name for it is "lncRNA (ENSSSCG00055006289.1, ENSSSCG00105014948.1, ENSSSCG00110024902.1)". Lineage: Eukaryota; Metazoa; Chordata; Mammalia; Artiodactyla; Suidae. The record is from RNAcentral.
CUCUUUGUUCCCAUCAGUUUGAGGGGGGAGGUGUUGAGAAGGGAGGAGGAGGUGGCGGAGUCAGAAGCUGGGGGGUACGGACCCUGGUGCUUCCAAGGACUGACCACAACCCCUUCUCACUCUCACCCUCACUCACACUCUGACUGUAAACAGAGGGUACCUGGAUGCCAGGAGGCAGAGGGCACAGGGAUGGGUACAGCCCCUGUGUCCUUCCUGGGUAAACUGCCUCCCCUCACCCAGGACCGAUCUCCCUGUGGUUCAGGGCCAUGGGUCCCUCGCUGCUAAGACCUCCAGUUCCUCUAAUGUCCUGGAGGCACGUGGUGCCCAGCCCUUCUCAUUCCUGGGCAGGUCCAGCGUGUCUGUUUAUACCACGGGAGUCAACUAGAACUUUACGUGAGAACCAAUAGUGACAUCGGAUCAUUGUUGAGCACCCUGUCCAUGAACUCUGCUCCAAUACUGAGGCCAAGGACUAAAUCCUCAAGGAGAGGAUUUGAUUUUAUACAACAAACCCAUUGAAUGUCUCCUUCGUCCCAAGCGGCCAGCCUUAGAAGAUACAAAGAUAAAUACGCCAUGGGCACUGCAGAGCCAGCGGAGAAGGACAAGGGAGCACUGUCUCCCGGGAGGACAUGGUUUUCUUUCAGGCUUUUCUUGUACCUGCCUACCUCUAUUUGCCACUCACACUGUUUCUGCCACCCUGUUUUUUUUUUAUUCUCUACUAAAUGAAUCUUACUAUUUUAUUUUCUUUUAAGUUUGUCAAGUUCAGUAAUCUGCUCAGAAACCAGCUUUGGAGUAUGUCCAUUAUUUUUUUUAAUUUAUUUUAUUUUUUUUGUCUUUUUAUCUUUUCUAGGGCCACACCCCCCGCAUAUGGAGGUUCCCAGGCUAGAGGUCAGAUCGGAGCUGUAGCCGCCGGCCUACGCCAGAGCCACAGCAACACCAGAUCCGAGCCACAUUUGCAACCUACACCACAGCUCACUGCAAUGCCAGAUCCUUGACCCACUGAGCGAGGCCAGGAAUCGAACCUAUAUCCUCAUGGUUCCUAGUCGGAUUGUUUCCUCUGCGUCACAUCAGGAACUCCAUGGAGUGUGUCCAUUAUUGUUUGUUUCCAGAUUCUUCUUUAAUUUUUGCUUUUAUUUUUAUGUUUCUCCUUUCUUAGAAUGUUCUCUUGAUUUCUAAAAUUGAAUGUGUAAUUCAUUAAUGUUCAAUCUUAUUUUAUUAUUAAUAUAUUUUAAACUACAUUUUCCAAUAGAGUGGUUUCACUUCAUCCACAAAUUUUGACACAUAUGGUUUUCACUAUUUUAUUUUUUUCUUUUUACAGCUGCACCUGCAGCAUAUGGAAGUUCCAGGCCAGGGAUGGAACCACAGCUGGAUCCAUAACCCACUGAGCCACCAGGGAACUCCUAUUUACCUUUUUGAAAUUGAAUUUUUUAUUUUAUUUCAUUGUGGUUACAGAACAUAUAAAUUUUUUUGGUCUUUUUUUUUUGAGAAUUGGCUUAUUGUCUACCUUUCUGACUAUUUUGUCAUGUAUUCUUGGAAAAAAUGUGUAUUCUCCAUUUGGGGGUGCAAGCUUUUAGGUAUGGCCUUCCUUAAUAAGUUGUCUUGUAAUGAUUUAUGAUUUAUAUUCUUAUUCAAUUUUUUACUCCUUAGGCUUUGAGUUUCUAAAAAUGAUAAAUGGAAAUCUCCCCCAGAAACCUUCCAUUCUAAUUGUGAAUUUGUUAAUUUCCGCUUAUAAUUCUGUCAAUUUUCACAUCAUGUAUUUCAAGACUGUUGCUAAAUGUAUGCACAUUCAGUUAUUACUGUAUCUUCCUGGUAUAGUAGCUUAAGUAAUGAUUCUCUUUAUCAUCAUCAUACAAUGCUUGUAUUUUAUGUCUAUUUGAUAAUAAUUAUUAAUUAAAAUAUUAUUGCUGAUG